This 489-nucleotide ribosomal RNA is filed under the name uncultured Alphaproteobacteria bacterium. RNAcentral's name for it is "bacterial SSU rRNA". It matches the Rfam family "Bacterial small subunit ribosomal RNA", at positions 38 to 573 of the family's 1533-position model. Lineage: Bacteria; Pseudomonadati; Pseudomonadota; Alphaproteobacteria. The record is from RNAcentral.
GGCGGCAUGCCUAACACAUGCAAGUCGAACGAAGGCUUCGGCCUUAGUGGCGCACGGGUGCGUAACGCGUGGGAAUCUACCCUUCGGUUCGGAAUAACAGAGAGAAAUUUCUGCUAAUACCGGAUGAUGACGUAAGUCCAAAGAUUUAUCGCCGAGGGAUGAGCCCGCGUAGGAUUAGCUAGUUGGUGUGGUAAAGGCGCACCAAGGCGACGAUCCUUAGCUGGUCUGAGAGGAUGAUCAGCCACACUGGGACUGAGACACGGCCCAGACUCCUACGGGAGGCAGCAGUGGGGAAUAUUGGACAAUGGGCGAAAGCCUGAUCCAGCAAUGCCGCGUGAGUGAUGAAGGCCUUAGGGUUGUAAAGCUCUUUUACCCGGGAUGAUAAUGACAGUACCGGGAGAAUAAGCUCCGGCUAACUCCGUGCCAGCAGCCGCGGUAAUACGGAGGGAGCUAGCGUUAUUCGGAAUUACUGGGCGUAAAGCGCACGUA